AUACGUAGGGGGCGAGCGUUAUCCGGAAUUAUUGGGCGUAAAGAGUACGUAGGUGGUUGCGUAAGCGCAAGGUGAAAGACCGGGGCUUAACUUCGGUGAGCCUUGUGAACUGCGUGACUUGAGUGCAGGAGGGGAAAGUGGAAUUCCUAGUGUAGCGGUGAAAUGCGUAGAUAUUGGGAAGAACACCGGUGGCGAAGGCGCCUUUCUGGACUGUGUCUGACGCUCAGAUGCGAAAGCCAGGGUAGCGAACGGGAUUAGAUACCCCGGUAGUCCUGGCCGUAAACGAUGGGUACUAGGUGUGGGAGGUAUCGACUCCUUCCGUGCCGGAGUUAACGCAAUAAGUACCCCGCCUGGGGAGUACGGCCGCAAGGCUUAAACUCAAAUGAAUUGACGGGG
RNAcentral lists this ribosomal RNA (396 nucleotides) under uncultured bacterium. RNAcentral describes it as "partial 16S ribosomal RNA". It matches the Rfam family "Bacterial small subunit ribosomal RNA", at positions 523 to 918 of the family's 1533-position model. The record is from RNAcentral.